CCCUGGCAAUGUUGUUGUUGGUCCUUGGAAAACGGAGAGUGAAUGUAGAGAACAAUGCUGGAUGAGCCAUGCACACAAUGAGACCAAGUUGAAAGAAUGCAACAAAAAAUGUUGUACCUUUCAAUGUCGCAGACGCUAUUCAUAUAGUAGAUCAAGGAUGCUUACAUGCUUUAGUGUAUGUUAUCUUGAACAUGCCUAAUACUUUAUUAAUUAAUGGUAAGCAAAUAUUUCUUAGUUUUCUAAAUUUAAAGUAUUUGAAGAUGUUUUUAUAUAUGUAAAGUUUUUUUUUUUUAAUAGUUGUUCACUCACCAGAUCUAAACCAAGGAGGGAAAUAAUAAUUACAACCAAAACAAGAAAGCAAAAUACAACAUUAUUUAAACAUAGAAACAUGACAUUGUUCAUCAUACUUAAGUUCUAAUGGAUAUCAUAGCAACAUGCACAGCAGCACCAUGAUCCUCAUAUUAAGCCUCCAACUCCUUUACUUAAACACUGACACCUCCUUUUAGUUAAGCAAUUUAGCUUCCUACAGCGAAAUCUUAGUAACCGACACCAUUCGAACUAAUUUGUCGCGGAUUUGAGCUCCACUUACCAACAGAUUGUUGCAUACACAAGACAAGAUUCGAAUCCCGACACUUGCUUAAGCAAACGAGUGAGUUGACCCAAAUUGGUGUAGUACCACUCCUUUAUCAGACUCCAAUUCAUCCUCCACUUCAUUAUAGAUAUGGCAAGGCCCGAAUCCAGGAGGGAAUGGACAAGUGCUACUAGAUAUUUGAUCACUUUCUUUACUUCUCUGUCUAAAAUUUUGGCCUACGCAAUUUCCAUUAAGUAUACCCAUAUCAAUUUUCUAUUUGGAUCAAUUCACAUAGUGGUCCAAAUUUAUUCACCAUAAACCAUUUCAGAUACCUUUGCCUCAUAACAUUCUCACUGUUUAUACUUCAGAUAUAGACAAAUUUAACAAUUACGAUCUCAUCUAUCGUCUUUAUACAUAUGAAAAUAUUUUUUUUACCGUAGUUAUACAUAUGAAAAUAUUUUGUUGUAGUUAUACUUUAAUUAUCUUUGACUUGAAUAGUAUAAUUAUGGUUUUGCUGAUUCGGUUGCUGAUGAUUCACAGAGUACUGCACAAUAAGAUCACAACCCAGGAAAACGAUGACAUGAGAUUAGAGAAGGAGAAGCAGAUGAUUUUGAAGAGAGUGAAGAGUCUAGUUUUAAUAACUUGGAUUAAUUAUGUGUAAAACUGACCAUUUUAUUAUUUUUUUCUGGGUCAAUAUUUAUUUUUUUCAUUAAAAGAAAACAUUAUUAACCCACAUUAUUAGUUAGGCAAAAGAAAUUAAUGGUGCACUGUGAGAGAUUAGUUCCAAGAGAAUCUAAGAACCACUCUUAUAUAGGGCAAUUUUAGUAACUACUUAAUUAAGGGAAGAUCAGAUGUAGUAACAUUUUUGUGACGAACUUCUAAUGUUCUUAUACGAACUUCUAAUAUUUAUUUAAACAUACGCAUGUUGAGUGGAC
This 1506-nucleotide long non-coding RNA is filed under the name Arachis ipaensis. RNAcentral describes it as "long non-coding RNA (AIPA_LNC000738)". Lineage: Eukaryota; Viridiplantae; Streptophyta; Magnoliopsida; Fabales; Fabaceae. The record is from RNAcentral.